GUUGAUGUCCUUAAUAUCAUCAAAAUGUUUUCCUUUCAAUGUUUUCAUUACCUUCACAGAAAGGAAUAAGUCAUAAUGGACAGAUGAGACAAGUAGGGAGGAUGAUGAAGAUCAGGAGGAAGAGGGGGAGGAAGAUGAAGAAGAGGAAGAGGAGGAGGAGCAGGAGGAGGAGGAGGAGGAGGUGGAGGCCAAACCAAGAGUGAAAAUGAUGUUGCUCACUAUUAACUCCCUCACAGACAGUGCUAUGUGAUCUGGUGCCUUGUCAUCAUGGAAGAGCUAUGACUUUUUGGCUACAAAUUCAGACCUUUUCUGUUGAAUUUUUUUAUCUAGCCUUUUUAAUACUUCCCAAACUCAACUUGUUUGCAGGUUAAAGAAUGCUACAUUGUCAGAAAUUUGUUGAAGUGCAUUCAAGAUAGGAACUCUUCAUCUGGCCUACAAAGUUUCUGCUGGGAAAUCAGCUCCCAAGUAGCUAGGGCUACAGCUGUGGACAAGUGCUAGACAGAAUCUUGGCAGGAUUCUGUGGUGGAAUAUCUCUGCACAUUGUUACAUCCAUCAGCUUGUCUUUAGGAGGCUGGUCCACCUGAACUAAAGGUCAUACAGGAGGCUCUGAAGCUCAUUUAGAAUUCAAGGGCAUCAAGGCCAGAGUCCAGAGACAUUAUAAGCGAGUCAAUGCUUCAAUUCAAUUGGACCAUUUUC
Nycticebus coucang (slow loris) is the source of this 696-nucleotide long non-coding RNA. RefSeq lists it as uncharacterized. The transcript has 3 exons. Lineage: Eukaryota; Metazoa; Chordata; Mammalia; Primates; Lorisidae. The record is from RefSeq and is a predicted model, not a curated record.